UACGUAGGGUGCAAGCGUUGUCCGGAAUUAUUGGGCGUAAAGAGCUCGUAGGCGGUUUGUCGCGUCGAAUGUGAAAACCCGGGGCUCAACUCCGGGCCUGCAGUGGGUACGGGCAGACUAGAGUGCGGUAGGGGAGAUUGGAAUUCCUGGUGUAGCGGUGGAAUGCGCAGAUAUCAGGAGGAACACCGGUGGCGAAGGCGGGUCUCUGGGCAGUAACUGACGCUGAGGAGCGAAAGCGUGGGGAGCGAACAGG
RNAcentral lists this ribosomal RNA (253 nucleotides) under uncultured bacterium. RNAcentral's name for it is "partial 16S ribosomal RNA". It matches the Rfam family "Bacterial small subunit ribosomal RNA", at positions 524 to 776 of the family's 1533-position model. The record is from RNAcentral.